UACAGAGGUGGCAAGCGUUGUUCGGAAUUACUGGGCGUAAAGGGCGCGUAGGCGGCCUUGUAAGUCCUGUGUGAAAUCCCCCGGCUCAACUGGGGAACUGCACAGGAGACUGCUUGGCUUGAGUUCGGGAGAGGGAAGCGGAAUUCCGGGUGUAGCGGUGAAAUGCGUAGAUAUCCGGAGGAACACCGGUGGCGAAGGCGGCUUCCUGGACCGACACUGACGCUGAGGCGCGAAAGCGUGGGGAGCAAACAGG
Molecule: ribosomal RNA, 253 nt
Filed under: uncultured bacterium
Lineage: Bacteria
Description: partial 16S ribosomal RNA
Rfam family: Bacterial small subunit ribosomal RNA
Source: RNAcentral